RNAcentral lists this ribosomal RNA (253 nucleotides) under uncultured bacterium. RNAcentral describes it as "partial 16S ribosomal RNA". It matches the Rfam family "Bacterial small subunit ribosomal RNA", at positions 524 to 776 of the family's 1533-position model. The record is from RNAcentral.
AACAGAGGUCGCAAGCGUUAAUCGGAACUACUGGGCGUAAAGCGUGCGUAGGUGGUUUGUUAAGUCAGGCGUGAAAUCCUGGGGCUCAACCUCAGAAUUGCGCUUGAUACUGACAGACUCGAGUGUGGUAGAGGAUAGUGUAAUUCCCGGUGUAGAGGUGAAAUCCGUAGAUAUCGGGAGGAACAUAAGUGGCGAAGGCGGCUAUCUGGACCAACACUUACACUGAUGUACGAAAGCGUGGGUAGCAAACAGG